Molecule: transfer RNA, 72 nt
Filed under: Camelus bactrianus (Bactrian camel)
Lineage: Eukaryota; Metazoa; Chordata; Mammalia; Artiodactyla; Camelidae
Also listed under: 1 other name
Rfam family: tRNA
About the family: Transfer RNA (tRNA) molecules are approximately 80 nucleotides in length. Their secondary structure includes four short double-helical elements and three loops (D, anti-codon, and T loops).
Source: Rfam by way of RNAcentral
GUAUGUAUAGCUGAGUAGUAGAGUGCAUGCCUAGCAUUCAUGAGGUCUUGGGUUCCAUGCCCAGUACCUCCA